CACCCGCGUAUCCGGCUGCUCGAGUGAUAGCCGCUUUUACUGGGCUUAAAGCGUUCGUAGCUUGGUCGUUAACUCUUUGGGGAAAUCUUUUGGCUUAACCAAAAGGCGUCUCAGGGAAAGUGGCGAUCUUGGAACCGGGAGAGGUAAGACGUACUUCGGGGGUAGGAGUGAAAUCUUGUAAUCCCCGAGGGACGACCGAUGGCGAAGGCAUCUUACCAGAACGGCUUCGACAGUGAGGGACGAAAGCUGGGGGAGCAAACCGGAUUAGAUACCCGGGUAGUCCCAGCCGUAAACGAUGUGCGUUAGGUGUGUCAGCGACCACGAGUCGCUGAGGUGCCGAAGGGAAACCGUGAAACGCACCGCCUGGGAAGUACGGUCGCAAGGCUGAAACUUAAAGGAAUUGGGGGGGGGGACCAC
This 417-nucleotide ribosomal RNA is filed under the name uncultured euryarchaeote. Its description in RNAcentral is "bacterial SSU rRNA". It matches the Rfam family "Archaeal small subunit ribosomal RNA", at positions 462 to 882 of the family's 1478-position model. Lineage: Archaea; Methanobacteriati; Methanobacteriota. The record is from RNAcentral.